CUACGGGGGGCAGCAGUCACGGAAACUUUACAAUGCGCGAAAGCGUGAUAAGGGUAUCCCAAGUGCUUUGCUUAUUGUAAGGCUUUUGCCAAGUGUAAAGAGCUUGGCGAAUAAGUGGUGGGUAAGACUGGUGCCAGCCGCCGCGGUAACACCAGCGCCACAAGUGGUAACCACGUUUAUUGGGCCUAAAGCGUUCGUAGCCGGUUUGAUAAGUUUCUUGUGCAAUUGUUUGGCCUAACCAAACAACGUGCAAGAAAUACUGUCUAACUUGGGACCGGGAGGAGUUAGAGGUAUUCCAUGGGGAGCGGUAAAAUGCUAUAAUCCUUGGAGGACCACCAAUGGCGAAGGCUUCUAACUAGAACGGAUCCGACGGUCAGGAACGAAGGCUAGGGGAGCAAAACGGAUUAGAUACCCGUGUAGUC
This 422-nucleotide ribosomal RNA is filed under the name uncultured archaeon. RNAcentral describes it as "partial 16S ribosomal RNA". It matches the Rfam family "Archaeal small subunit ribosomal RNA", at positions 323 to 746 of the family's 1478-position model. The record is from RNAcentral.